This 425-nucleotide long non-coding RNA is filed under the name Limulus polyphemus (Atlantic horseshoe crab). Its description in RNAcentral is "uncharacterized LOC111083605, transcript variant X1". The record is from RNAcentral. Lineage: Eukaryota; Metazoa; Arthropoda; Merostomata; Xiphosura; Limulidae.
GUUUUGGUUCUGGUAAUUUUACUUCCCAGGAUGCCUUACUGUAGCGCAUGUGUUGAACUAUUGACGGGGAGUUCACCACUAUCCGCAUUGGCGUUACUAUGCAGUUGAUACUUGACAGGAAUUUUUCUUCAUGUUGAAUUCCAUAAAUUUCAACUUUCAAGACUAGCUUCCAACGCCUUAAGGCUUAACUUAAGUGUUACUUACAAUAUACUAUAUAGAGCAAAUCUCGUCAACCACUUUCCUCAUCGCUACAUCAGAUUAAUACUAAUAGAGACAGAAAAAGUUGGAAAAUGACUGAGAAUCCAGCUGAAUGCAGUAUCAAAGUGGUGUGUCGAAUUCGGCCUCUUAACAGUUCAGAAGAGAAAUCGGGAAGCAAAUUCAUUGUGAAAUUUCCACCAAAUACAGAAGAAUGUGUUUCCAUUAAG